This 253-nucleotide ribosomal RNA is filed under the name uncultured bacterium. RNAcentral describes it as "partial 16S ribosomal RNA". It matches the Rfam family "Bacterial small subunit ribosomal RNA", at positions 524 to 776 of the family's 1533-position model. The record is from RNAcentral.
UACGUAGGGGGCUAGCGUUGUCCGGAAUCAUUGGGCGUAAAGCGCGUGUAGGCGGCCCGGUAAGUCCGCUGUGAAAGUCGGGGGCUCAACCCUCGAAAGCCGGUGGAUACUGUCGGGCUAGAGUACGGAAGAGGCGAGUGGAAUUCCCGGUGUAGCGGUGAAAUGCGCAGAUAUCGGGAGGAACACCAAUUGCGAAGGCGGGUCUCUGGGCCGAUACUGACGCUGAGGAGCGAAAGCGUGGGGAGCGAACAGG